This 497-nucleotide ribosomal RNA is filed under the name uncultured bacterium. RNAcentral's name for it is "partial 16S ribosomal RNA". It matches the Rfam family "Bacterial small subunit ribosomal RNA", at positions 28 to 507 of the family's 1533-position model. The record is from RNAcentral.
GAUGAACGCUGGCGGCGUGCCUAAUACAUGCAAGUCGAGCGAACAGACGGGGAGCUUGCUCCUCUGACGUUAGCGGCGGACGGGUGAGUAACACGUGGAUAACCUACCUAUAAGACUGGGAUAACUUCGGGAAACCGGAGCUAAUACCGGAUAAUAUAUUGAACCGCAUGGUUCAAUAGUGAAAGACGGUUUUGCUGUCACUUAUAGAUGGAUCCGCGCCGCAUUAGCUAAUUGGUAAGGUAACGGCUUACCAAGGCAACGAUGCGUAGCCGACCUGAGAGGGUGAUCGGCCACACUGGAACUGAGACACGGUCCAGACUCCUACGGGAGGCAGCAGUAGGGAAUCUUCCGCAAUGGGCGAAAGCUUGACGGAGCAACGCCGCGUGAGUGAUGAAGGUCUUCGGAUCGUAAAACUCUGUUAUUAGGGAAGAACAAAUGUGUAAGUAACUAUGCACGUCUUGACGGUACCUAAUCAGAAAGCCACGGCUAACUACGUG